This 128-nucleotide small RNA is filed under the name Marmota monax (woodchuck). Lineage: Eukaryota; Metazoa; Chordata; Mammalia; Rodentia; Sciuridae. The record is from RNAcentral.
GCCAGGCCCAGUGGCGCACGCCUGUAAUCCCAGCAGCUCAGGAGGCUGAGGCAGGAGGAUCAAAGAGUUCAAAGCCAGCCUCAGCAAUUUAGCCAGACACUUAGCAACUCAGUGAGACCCUGUCUCUA